Long non-coding RNA from Helianthus annuus (common sunflower), 770 nucleotides. RefSeq lists it as uncharacterized. The record is from RefSeq and is a predicted model, not a curated record. NCBI's taxonomy places the organism in Eukaryota, Viridiplantae, Streptophyta, Magnoliopsida, Asterales, Asteraceae. The transcript has 3 exons.
AUUGGCAAAUGAUCUGUGGUUAAGAAUUGAAGACAAACGAUCCGAUUGAAGUCUACCUGGUUGAUGUUGCGGCUUAUGCUUCUCUCCAAGAGAUCAAUUAUGUUUUUUACAAAGCGGUCAAGUAUAUGAUGGUGCUCAUGCUACCAGGCCUGAACACUUUCUGAAGCACAGUUACAACAGAUGUAAUGUUUUCAUCAUCGUUCAUACUUCAUAUACAACGGAAGAUUCGAUUUUAUACAGGCUUUGUUAUUUUCUCUUGAAUGUCUUCAAUGUUUUUAUCAACGACGCUAUACAAGUCACGAUCCGAUAUAAUACAGGUAAAAGGUUAAAUCUUCAACUGCUAAUACAGGUAAAACUCUAAAUCUUUGAUUGAUAAUAUUUGUUAUUGAACCUCUGUUCUGAUUAGUAUCUUUUUUUCGUUGUUGAAAUUAGGGUUUCUUGAUUUCUUUUGAUUGUGUUUCCUUCUUAGGGAUUGUAAAUGUUCAUCAUAGUUUUUAAUUUUUGUUUGGUUUUUAAUGUCUUUCUGAAUAUGUAUGUUUGAUUAAUUUUUUAGAAAUUUUAAUGAUAUCCAUUUAUUUGUACCACCUAAUGCAAAUCAUAUGUUAAUUCAUUUUUCUGAGAGUGAUAAAGGCUUUGUUGAUGACGUGAUUGUACUUGUGGUAUUCUUGAGCCUUUACGGAAUGGUUCUCAUAGUGUUGACUCAAUCGAUGAUGAUGAACAAUGAUGAACAAAGCGUUAAUGAUGGAAGUUUGGACAUUCUUAAAACUGAU